GUAGUUGUAGCUCAGUGGUAGAGAGCUUGCCUAGCAUGUAUGAGGCACUGAGUUCCAUCCUCAGCACCAUACA
Molecule: non-coding RNA, 73 nt
Organism: Ictidomys tridecemlineatus (thirteen-lined ground squirrel)
Lineage: Eukaryota; Metazoa; Chordata; Mammalia; Rodentia; Sciuridae
Source: Rfam